CCCUUAGAUGUUCUGGGCAGCACGCGCGCUACAAUGGUCUUCGCAAACAGAUGCAUUCUCGAAGGAGAAUGCCAAUCUUGGAAUCUAUGCCUUGGUCGGGACAGUUGCUUGCAAUUUUUCGACUCGAACCAGGAAUUCCUUGUAAUCGUGAUUCAUCACAUCACGAUGAAUACGUCCCUGCCCUUUGUACACACCGCCCGUCGCUCCUACCGAUCGAAGAGCUAGGUGAAUUGUUUUGAUCGAUAAGAUUUGACUAUGGUCAACUCUCGUUGUGAAAUUCUGUGAAUCUGACUGUUUAGAGGAAGGAAAAGUCGUAACA
RNAcentral lists this ribosomal RNA (319 nucleotides) under uncultured eukaryote. Its description in RNAcentral is "partial 18S ribosomal RNA". It matches the Rfam family "Eukaryotic small subunit ribosomal RNA", at positions 1470 to 1796 of the family's 1831-position model. The record is from RNAcentral.